Molecule: long non-coding RNA, 259 nt
Organism: Actinia tenebrosa (Australian red waratah sea anemone)
Lineage: Eukaryota; Metazoa; Cnidaria; Anthozoa; Actiniaria; Actiniidae
Source: RefSeq, a predicted model, not a curated record
AUUUUCGGGCAGAGAGGCACGCGCCUGGGAAUGGUUUCUACCGUUCAGUUCAAAUGUAACGAAAGCAAAACCCUGGGUAGUGAGGCCAAGAUGAAUAUAAUACGAGAUGCGGCAGAACCAAUCCUUGAAGUAGAACACAAGUGCUGCUGUCCGGAUGGAUGUCCCGUGAAUGUUCCGCCUACCACACCUCCAGGCCCUACCGUGGUAUCUUCAUCUACUAUGUUUCCCACCUUUCCAGUUUACGUGUCAAGAACUUUAU